This 429-nucleotide ribosomal RNA is filed under the name uncultured prokaryote. RNAcentral's name for it is "bacterial SSU rRNA". It matches the Rfam family "Bacterial small subunit ribosomal RNA", at positions 355 to 776 of the family's 1533-position model. RNAcentral also lists the same sequence under 2 other names. The record is from RNAcentral.
UAGGGAAUCUUCCACAAUGGACGAAAGUCUGAUGGAGCAACGCCGCGUGAGCGAAGAAGGUUUUCGGAUCGUAAAGCUCUGUUGUGAGGGAAGAACAAGUACGGGAGUAACUGCCCGUACCUUGACGGUACCUCAUUAGAAAGCCACGGCUAACUACGUGCCAGCAGCCGCGGUAAUACGUAGGUGGCAAGCGUUGUCCGGAAUUAUUGGGCGUAAAGCGCGCGCAGGCGGUCCUUUAAGUCUGAUGUGAAAGCCCACGGCUCAACCGUGGAGGGUCAUUGGAAACUGGGGGACUUGAGUACAGAAGAGGAAAGCGGAAUUCCACGUGUAGCGGUGAAAUGCGUAGAGAUGUGGAGGAACACCAGUGGCGAAGGCGGCUUUCUGGUCUGUAACUGACGCUGAGGCGCGAAAGCGUGGGGAGCAAACAGG